RNAcentral lists this ribosomal RNA (417 nucleotides) under uncultured bacterium. RNAcentral's name for it is "bacterial SSU rRNA". It matches the Rfam family "Bacterial small subunit ribosomal RNA", at positions 954 to 1372 of the family's 1533-position model. The record is from RNAcentral.
GCACAACGCGAAGAACCUUACCUAGGCUUGACAUGCAUCUCUAAGCGCGUGAAAGCGCGUGACCCUUCGGGGGAUUUGUCACAGGUGCUGCAUGGCCGUCGUCAGCUCGUGUCGUGAGAUGUUGGGUUAAGUCCCGCAACGAGCGCAACCCUUGUGAACAGUUGCCAGCACUUAAGGUGGGAACUCUGUUCAGACUGCCCAGAUCAACCGGAGGAAGGUGGGGAUGACGUCAAGUCAUCAUGGCCCUUAUGACCAGGGCUACACACGUGCUACAAUGGCCAGUACAAAGGGUUGCCAACCCGCGAGGGGGAGCCAAUCCCAUAAAGCUGGUCGUAGUCCGGAUCGCAGUCUGCAACUCGACUGCGUGAAGUCGGAAUCGCUAGUAAUCGCGAAUCAGAAUGUCGCGGUGAAUACGUU